AAUAAAUUCUAACGGAAAUUGCGCACACGACUUCUGAACCUCCACCGCUGCCCUCCCAUUCGGGUGAGGAACCACCGCACUGAUGGAGGAUGCGUAUUUCCCCGUCGCGUCCUGCAGGAUCUGUGCUCAGAUUCCCCUCCGCGCGCCGCCGAGAUCCGCGGUAGAGAGAACCGGGGUCGCCGCCUCAGCCUUCCAUCCGUCCGUCGCGCACGCCCGUCCCUCCGUACAUUGAGGACACUGGCCCCACGAUCCACCGAUUCAGCGCACAGGAUGUUGAUGAUAUUGACCGCCGAUUCGUUGGCCGCCGGACUCAUCGCGUCUCUCGCGGCAGAGGCACACAGGUAGCCAUGACUUUCCACUGCAGUUACUUAUCACAUAGGAGUAAGAAUUUUUUUAUUCUUAUACUGUUAUCCAAGUACAUCAACAAUCCUUCAUUUGGUUCAGUCUUGAAAGAGCAGCACGUUUUACCACUGCCGCUUUUAGCUCUAUCUUCUAGCGAACCUCCAUGGCAACCUGCCGGCUCACCUACGGAAAAAUGGUGCAAGCAUUUUCUUGCAUCUGGAGGUCUUACUAAGUUGCGGCAUUUAAUUCUCAAUCCAGGUAUCGCAAUCUGUCAUGAUGCCAUUAAGGCAUUAACUGUGAACUCCAUCCCUGCAGGAUAUGUUGCAUGAGGUUGUAGGUCUCGAUAUCUUAUCUUGGAUAAGAUGUCUGGAUCUUUGUACUCUUGCUGUGCUGACAAUCUCCAGCGGUCCAACUCAAGGAAUUGGCACGAUAAAACUUUGACUACCAGACUUUUUGUAACUGAUCCAAGAUUGAUGAUGGCAUAUUACUUGUAUAAUUUUCCUUGAUGUUUAUUGGAUUGAUGAAUUAUGUUAUUGCAACUUUUUCUGAACCAUGUCCACUAUUCAAUUCUUCACACACAGCUUCUUAGGGUAUCACUGUAGUCUUGAACCAUGACAUUUUAUAUUUAUCGCAUCUGUUUUGACUAGCUUACAGAGAGUGGUAUUUAGCCAUAGGACUGUAAACAAGUAGUUGUUUCAUUCGUUGUAGACUUAAGAGCAAUAAAAUGUUGUUUCUUUUGGAAAUUUGAAAUAAAUGAAAAUACAUAUUCUUCGGAAUGGAUGGUUCAGUUCAACAAUUAUUUUCAUUAGGUUCCUGUGAAAGCUACUACAUACUAAAGUACCAUCGAUCUAUGACAGGUUCAGCUGCACACUUUUACUGACUGUUGUGCUUUGGUGUUUUCAUUGAACCAGAUUGCAGUUACAUAAAUCAAGCUUGUUGCUGGAAAGCCAACUCGUAAAGUCUCCUGAACCCGGCAAGUCAAAGUCAAAUGCUCAAUGGAAUGACUAAUUAGCGUUGAAACACCGUUUCAAUCUCAAGCCCAUCUAGAAUUUUGCGUUGAGAUCCUGGUGUACACGUUGGGCUAGGAGGUUCAAGUUUGAAAACCAACACCAAUGUUAUCAUCCGAAGCUAUCUUUUAUUACCAAGUUCGAUCCAAUACAGGAAUAGAUGCUAUCACAUUUCACAAGAAGGACGUUCCAUAUGGGAUUGGUGUGUUUUACCACGAACUCAACAAGGAGGGGAUGCUUCCUGAUCUAUUUGUUGUGCUCUGCUGUGAUCCCGGCCUCUGUCUUUCAGAACCUUUGCCCGCAACUAGAGAGAAGCUUGCACAUUGCCAGGUGAGCCACUACUACCAGGAAAUGUAAGGAUACUAUAUCUUCUUGGUUUCGGCGUUCCUUUCCCUCACAUUUCAGCACUUCUUUUGUUAAUAAUAUGGGGAUGAGAGCAAAUAAGGAGGCCUCGAUUCAAAGAAAUCAAACGCUCUUUGGCUUCCUAUUAUUUGGUGCUUUGCAAUGCAUGAUGCCUUCGCUUUCUUUGGAAGCCUGCUGCAUGGUAGACUUCAACAGAAAUGGUUCGCCAUACGGGAAGGUUGUAAUACGCCUUGAUUGGCCUCUCCCUGCAGACACAAGCCAAGCCAGUUGUUGUUGUGCCAUCGACUGUUACUGCCGUGCCACAAGAUUGCAAAACUGGUCGAGCAGGAUUUCCCAUCACUUCAUACUUCAGUGAUGACAGACUACAUGAAGGAAAUCUUGUGUGCGCAACUGGAGUAUACUUUUUUUUUUU
Long non-coding RNA from Lolium rigidum, 2124 nucleotides. RefSeq lists it as uncharacterized. The transcript is spliced from 7 exons. NCBI's taxonomy places the organism in Eukaryota, Viridiplantae, Streptophyta, Magnoliopsida, Poales, Poaceae. The record is from RefSeq and is a predicted model, not a curated record.